AUUUAAGAAAUAAUAUUAAUCAUUGAAAUAUGAAUUAGGCGAAGGCGGAGGAACCAUUCAAGCGGUAUCAACAGAAAGAAACUAAUCAUUAAGAGCGUCGCAAGAAGCAAUGAAGGAAAGGGGAAGCAAAAACGAAAAAAUCAAUGUGGCAUUGUUCGCCGGCGUAAUGUGCUAUGAAAAGAAGAAAGGAACUAGGGGAAGAAUGGGAGUAAAAAUGUAGGAGAGAUGGUGAUAUACAGGAGCAAUGUUACGCGCGAUUAACUUCCUCUAAGAGACAACCGUGCCACGAACGACCUCCACCAAACAAUGUCAGCCAUGAUGAAGGAAGAAAAUGGAGAAGCAACGUCAACAAGGAAUUUUUAAAUCCUUGGUGAAUUUAUUAAUUCACGACCACCAAGUUUAUUAUUCAUUUGUCAUUUAUACAUUUUGCAAUUUCAAUCCAAAAAUUGUUUAUACGAUUUUAUUUCUUUCGAUUUCACUACAAUUCUAGGGUAAUAAAAUAAGCUUAGAAUUUAUAUUUCAAGAAAAUUAUUAAAAUCAGAAGUUGAAUAAUAAAAAAAAAUUUUUACAAAUAGUUAAAUUCACGCAUCGUCGCAUUACUCUUUAUUAAAUCCUAUAAAUUUCUAUGCUUGUUUCACUGGCAUCCAUUGAAAAUGAAAAGAAACGAGCCGCUUGCAUAAAAGGAUCAUCACAUAUAAAAUUAUGAUGGAUAUUUAAUAACCAUAAAUAAACUCAAAAUGUACGUUGCAUGGAAGGAAUAAAACGUACUAAGUAUUCCAUUCACCGACACUAAAAGAUCCACCAUUAUUUUUGAAGGAAACUGUCUUGUAACGUAUCUCUUGGGACGUCGUCUACCAUUUUCUUGAAAGGCUACAAAUAUUGAUAACACGUAUGACCCAUACGAAAUGAAUGUUACAAAACAUGCUCACCGGAAGAAAUAUCGUUCAACGUUCAUAUCACGAUGAAUAUAAAGGGACGUUAACGUCGCCUGAAAAAUCGAACGUUCCUGAAUUCGUUUCUUUCGCAUCGUCUUCGCAUAGAACUCACAAACCUCGAUGUACGUUUUUCCACUAACGUUUUCAGCGGUGGUUCACUAGGAAAAAUUACUCGGACUUAUUCAUCUGGUCGCGUAGUUUUUUUCCAUGUAAAAGAAAGAAAAAAAAAAAAGAAAGAAAGAAAGAAAAAAGAGAAAGGAUGAGAGAGGUUAGGAAGGGAGCGACUGAUAAGCUUAAAUGGAUCCCACUUUAUCAUGGGUAAGAGGGUAGGAAGAGGUCAGAGGUACUCAGGAGGUUUAUCUAGGUAGUACAAGGGCUUACGAUGUCACGCGAUCCAAUUUGACAGUAUAAGUGACAGGAUGGAGCAUUUACUCGAGAUCAAGUAAGCCUAUAUGGAAUGACAUUGGGGAAACAAGAAAGCUGAUGUAAUGCGUAUUAACUAUAUCUUCGUAUCGUGAAACAAUCAUUAUACAACGAAUAAGGGAUGUAUUAAUCAGGGAUUGUUCAAUUACAUGUAUUCCUCUGUUUGUAAGUAAUAUAAUAUUUUUUUCUUUAAUUAGAUACAAAAUGAUACACGAUAACGAAGCAUUAUCAGAGAAACGACAAUAGAAUAUCUAUGUCUGUAUAAAAUGAUGGUUUUGAGAUAUGUAAUAAAAAUUUAAGAAUUUUUAAAAAUUAUUUGAAAAAGUUAUAGGAAAAUUAAUGAUGCAUUAACUAUUAUAAAGCUUUUAAAAAAGUGUUCAGUAAAGAAGUAAAAUUUUCAUUAAAAAUAAAAUCGUAUAAUAAUAAUAAUUAUAGUAAUGAUAAUAUUAAAUAGUAAGAUAAAAAUUUAAGUUUAUCUUGUUUUUUUUUUUUUUUUCAAUACUUAUGAACGGGAGUAUAUAUUCUACUUUUCUUGGCAUACAAAUAUAGCAUUAGUUUAUCUUUCCACGAAGCCAUAGCUGCGGAUUUCAUUUUGAACUUCUAAGUCAAAUGUUUGUAAAGCCCUGCCACAAAAAACAGGGCUUCCAGAUUUAUCUGGAACUUCGAAAAUCAAAUAUUUAUACGAUCGUCCGUAAAAAUAGAAUUUCAACUAACUUUCCAGUUUCUAUUUAGCUUUUAUUUGUUUUACAAUUAUCUAGGUUCUAUUGUACUUUUACAUGGUAUUUUUGUUUCGUGAAAAGAUUAUGUACUCCAUAGUUUAGAAUUUUGUAUAUCGUGUGAAGUUUUUAUCGAAGAGAGAGA
Apis florea (little honeybee) is the source of this 2219-nucleotide long non-coding RNA. The record is from RefSeq and is a predicted model, not a curated record. NCBI's taxonomy places the organism in Eukaryota, Metazoa, Arthropoda, Insecta, Hymenoptera, Apidae.